This 520-nucleotide ribosomal RNA is filed under the name uncultured Glomus. RNAcentral describes it as "SSU rRNA". It matches the Rfam family "Eukaryotic small subunit ribosomal RNA", at positions 569 to 1089 of the family's 1831-position model. Lineage: Eukaryota; Fungi; Glomeromycota; Glomeromycetes; Glomerales; Glomeraceae. The record is from RNAcentral.
AGCAGCCGCGGUAAUUCCAGCUCCAAUAGCGUAUAUUAAAGUUGUUGCAGUUAAAAAGCUCGUAGUUGAAUUUCGGGGUCAGUAGAUUGGUCGUGCCACUGGUAUGUACUGGUCUCACUGGCUCCUCCUUCCUGAUGAACCGUAAUGCCAUUAAUUUGGUGUUGCGGGGAGACUGGACUGUUACUUUGAAAAAUUAGAGUGUUUAAAGCAGGCUAACGCUUGAAUACAUUAGCAUGGAAUAAUGAAAUAGGACGUUCGAUCUUAUUUUGUUGGUUUCUAAGAUUGACGUAAUGAUUAAUAGGGAUAGUUGGGGGCAUUGGUAUUCAAUUGUCAGAGGUGAAAUUCUUGGAUUUAUUGAAGACUAACUACUGCGAAAGCAUUUGCCAAGGAUGUUUUCAUUAAUCAAGAACGAAAGUUAGGGGAUCGAAGACGAUCAGAUACCGUCGUAGUCUUAACCAUAAACUAUGCCGACUAGGGAUCGGAUGAUGUUAAUUUUUAAUGUACUCAUUCGGCGUACCCG